Molecule: long non-coding RNA, 533 nt
Filed under: Mytilus galloprovincialis (Mediterranean mussel)
Lineage: Eukaryota; Metazoa; Mollusca; Bivalvia; Mytilida; Mytilidae
Source: RNAcentral
UGGAUUGAAAACAAUAAUCUUGUCCAUUUUUUUUACUAUUAGAAACGACAAUUUCCAACAGAAUUAUUUAGCAUUAAAUGAACAUGAUGAAUACAAACGGGCGUAAUUUUUUGGGGCCGGGUUUCCAUGUCUGACCGGAAUGUCUGUUUCGCCGAACUGAUAUAUUGAAUACUUUUUUCAAAACCAGACUGCAACCUGCCUACUAGGUGUGGCCUUUGUGUCUCCAUUUGUCGACCGGCAUUCAUAAAUUCGUUGUCAUUUCAGACUCAUUCGUAGCCUUUUGGUUGAUUUGGAACCCCUUAUACUUCUCUUGUUUGGGUGAAACUUUUCAACGAAACAUUUGGCUAGACAUUGCUUGUUUGUAUUUUAACUCGUGUCGGUCGUUUUGUAAAUUUCAUUGAAUAGCCUGGCGCAUAUUUUGCUUACAAAAAGAAAUCUGUAAGUUUAUCAUAAUUUAACAUACAACACACGAUAAUUUGCCAUGUCUAUGUUUUACUGACAAGUCCCACAUCAAAUAUAUCAGUACAUAGCUU